GAAAUUCGUAUUCUUUCACACAAAGUAAGUCAAAGUCAUGUAUGUGUCUCUAGUAUGAGAAAACAACUACAUAUGCCCAGUCAUAUAGUCAUGUGUCUUAUUAUCACAAUUCAAAAAUCAUCACGCCGAUCAAUUGAGAAAAUCAAUCGAAACUUUUCAUCACUUACUACCUUGCAUAUGCAAUGGUAAUAUCGAUUUCUCAUUUUGUUCUUAAAAAAAUAAAAAUAAAAAUAAAUAAAAAGUAAAAAUAAAUUAUGCUUCAUACUAACAUAAAGCUUAUCAUAACUGCAUUCAUCGAUUUAUCGAGCAUUCAAAAUCUUAUGCUUAAUCCAAU
RNAcentral lists this long non-coding RNA (334 nucleotides) under Linum usitatissimum (flax). Its description in RNAcentral is "long non-coding RNA (LUSI_LNC003954)". The record is from RNAcentral. Lineage: Eukaryota; Viridiplantae; Streptophyta; Magnoliopsida; Malpighiales; Linaceae.